This 444-nucleotide ribosomal RNA is filed under the name uncultured soil bacterium. RNAcentral's name for it is "bacterial SSU rRNA". It matches the Rfam family "Bacterial small subunit ribosomal RNA", at positions 26 to 518 of the family's 1533-position model. The record is from RNAcentral.
AGAACGAACGCUGGCGGCAUGCCUAAUACAUGCAAGUCGAACGAACUCUUCGGAGUUAGUGGCGCACGGGUGCGUAACGCGUGGGAAUCUGCCCCUUGGUUCGGAAUAACAGUUGGAAGCGACUGCUAAUACCGGAUGAUGACGAAAGUCCAAAGAUUUAUCGCCAAGGGAUGAGCCCGCGUAGGAUUAGCUAGUUGGUGAGGUAAAGGCUCACCAAGGCAACGAUCCUUAGCUGGUCUGAGAGGAUGAUCAGCCACACUGGGACUGAGACACGGCCCAGACUCCUACGGGAGCAGCAGUAGGGAAUAUUGGACAAUGGGCGAAAGCCUGAUCCAGCAAUGCCGCGUGAGUGAUGAAGGCCUUAGGGUUGUAAAGCUCUUUACCCGAGAUGAUAAUGACAGUAUCGGAGAAUAAGCCCCGCUAACGUCCGUGCCAGCAGCCGAC